This 253-nucleotide ribosomal RNA is filed under the name uncultured bacterium. RNAcentral describes it as "partial 16S ribosomal RNA". It matches the Rfam family "Bacterial small subunit ribosomal RNA", at positions 524 to 776 of the family's 1533-position model. The record is from RNAcentral.
UACAGAGGUGGCAAGCGUUGUUCGGAUUUACUGGGCGUAAAGGGCGCGCAGGCGGCUUUGUUUGUCAGGCGUGAAAGCCCCGGGCUUAACCUGGGAACUGCGUUUGAUACGGCAGGGCUAGAGUUCGGGAGAGGAGAGUGGAAUUCCCAGUGUAGAGGUGAAAUUCGUAGAUAUUGGGAAGAACACCGGUGGCGAAGGCGGCUCUCUGGACCGAUACUGACGCUGAGGCGCGAAAGCGUGGGGAGCAAACAGG